Molecule: RNA transcript, 3265 nt
Organism: Lates calcarifer (barramundi perch)
Lineage: Eukaryota; Metazoa; Chordata; Actinopteri; Centropomidae
Gene: znf451
Gene name: zinc finger protein 451
Exons: 14
Source: RefSeq, a predicted model, not a curated record
ACUUAGAGGUAAGCGAGGAAGAAAUUAUGCUCCCAUGUUGGAUUCUACAUGGGUUGUGUUGAGUUUAGCGGAACUGCACCGAAAUAAAUGUCUUCUCCAGCUCAAGCAGACGAAGAUGAGGUGGAAGAAGAAGUGGAGUUCGUAUCAGAGGGCCCUCUCAGACCAGUAUUGGAAUGCAUUGAUCUGCUGAGUGACAGUGAGGAUGAGGGAUGUUCAUCAUUUACAGGAGUGCUUGAGGAUAAAAUCACCCGACACAAAGCUCGUGUUACAUCUACACUGGACAGACUGGCACAGCAGGUGGCACUAGAGAAGAAGGAACGAGCAGAUAAAUGCAGAGCGUUCAAGGAGAAGCAAAUCUUACAAAAAGCUCAUGGACAGCAGGAGUUGGCAUUCAGUUCUGCAAAUGGAAUUAAUCAGGAAGCAAAGCGCUGUGUAGACAUGUGGUUAAAGAUGCCAGGUCUUCAGCCAGGAGUAAUCGGUGUUGGUUCUGGUAGAAGGCGCAGACCUGCUUCUUUCCCCAUAAAGAGUUCAACUAGACACACUUGUCCAGUGAUUAACUGUGGUCGCAUUUAUGACAAUGCGUCCCUCCUUGACGGCCACUUAAAAAGGUUUGAUCACUCCCCCUGUGAUCCAACUAUCCAUCUGAAGGGAAGUCCAUCUGAGCUCUUUGCCUGUGUUGCCUGUGGUCAACAUUUUCAGACCAAAGAAGCAUGGAGGAAACAUCUUGAGUCUAAGGUGUCAUCUACUGCCGAUGCUCACAGCAUCACUCAGACCUAUCAGAGGAUUGUGUGUUUUGCCUGUCCUGCCUGCUACCUCUUCUUCAACCUCAGAGAUGAGUGUCUUCAGCAUAUGUCAGCCAAAAACCACUUCACAGAGGCUCUCACCAUGCAUGAACCCAGAGGAAGAGCACUGCCAGUUCCUGUCCCACAAUAUGUUAAGAAUCGUCUCAUCACUUUGUGCAAGGAUACAACAUUCAAUGUCCGAUGCUCUUUAUGUCACCAAGUACUGAUCUCACAUCAGGCAGCUCAGGCUCACUUCAAUGUGUACUGCAGACAGGGCUGUGCGGUGGCCAAGGCUGAUAAAACAAUAGUGCAGGUGAUGAAACAGCUGCAAGUGCAAGGGCAGUGCUCCCUCUGCUGUAAAAUCUUCCUCAGCCAAGCUGAAAUUGAGAAACACAAAGAAUCGACCCAGCAUGAUGUGGAGGUCAACCAAACAAUGGAGAAAGCACUUCUUCAGCUCUGCAGGUUUGAUGAAAUUCAACACACCCAGAGAGCUAAAGAAUGGAAAAGACUAUCCACUGGCCUUGAAACACCUUUUGAGAAAAGAAAACAGAAGAGAAAUGAUUGUGAAAGAUUUCCGACCAAACGGCAGAGGCUCAGCCCAAUUGUGAAUGGCAGCACUAGCAGAAACUCAGCAACAGCAUGGUUCUGUGAGUGUGGUCUACAGUUCUCAGAGGAGGCCACAGCCAGUAAGCAUCUCUUGGCUGUGAACCAGAUUUUCCAUCAGUGUGGCGUGUGUGGCAAACACAUGGGAGAGUCUUCAAUUACCCGCCUGCAUAUGAGUCGCUUUCAUGGGGGAGCUCAUCUCUCCAAUUUCCUCUUCUACUGCCGCAAGUGCAAAGUGGAAAUGCCUCGGUAUGAAGAUAUCCUGUUGCACGUGUCAGAAGCUCACAGUGGACACACCUACUUCACAGAACAAGAGGUGUCUGAGGAGGAUGCCACAGUCAUCGAUGCCAAGCCGUCCACCAGUAGCGUAGUCCCCAAACAUUCGUCCUCUAAGUCCACAGUCCAGCAGAACACAGUAGAGCCAUCCUCUUCAAAGGCUGACCAGACUUGGAUGUGCAGGAUGUGUGAGGACAUCUUUGACUCUGAAGUGGCCGUCCACAAACACUGCAGUGACGUGAGCAGUCACAGCUUUCAGAGGUUCAUCUGUGGACACUGUCCUCAGAAGUUCUUUAAAGAGUCCACUGUACGUAGACACUGUGUGAAUGAGCAUGAUGGGCAGAUAAAGAGCUCCCACUUCUGCGGUCUCUGCGACAGCAUGCAAUUUGAAUCUGAAGCGGAGUUCCUGGCGCACUACAAGAGUCUUCACAGUAAGGACUAUUACUGUAUGGAUGAUGUUGAAGUUGUUCAGCCUACCAUUACUGAAAGCACCAGUCAGCCCACAUGCCCAUGCAUGGGUUCAGAAAAGAGCAAAGAGGAAAUGAAAGCUACAUACACACAGUGCAUGAGGAAUCUGGCCGCUAAAGGGGAAUGUCAGUAUGUGUGCGCUCCUUGUGGGGUGUCUGUGCAAUCCUACGCACAGAUCAAGACUCACGUCCACACAAAACACGCAGCCUUGAACCUGGACAAGACGUUUGAUGUAGAAUGCAAAGCUUGCCAGGAGAGUUUUGUGGGUGUACCGAGUUUCCAUAAACACUAUCACUCCCAGCACUGCACGCUGGAACCCUGCACGAGCUCCAGGACCUGCGAGAAAGACAUGAAAGCAGAACCUACCACCGUAAAAAUACUCAAUGCUGUGGAGAUCGAACCAGACAACAAUGAGAGUGAAGAUGAAACGCGGGUGAAGUUUUCGAACAUCUGUCAAGCCAACAAAGAGAGUGAGGCAAAUGAAAAUGCUUCAGAUGAUGAGAUGAAGCAUGCACUGUCUUUGAUUAAUGAGGAAGAAGCAAGAGAGUCAGCAGAGUUGGAAGAAGCGCUUAAAAGAAGUCUUGUGGAAUACUAAUGACUUGAAAGCUUUUUGUGAUGCAGUUCAUCAGACAUUGAAAUGUUUUGUACAAGAAAAGUGAUAAUGUGAUACAAAGGAUACGCAGUGCACUACACCCAUCUGGAUGAAGAUAAAAGGAACUUUGGAGACUGGCUGUUGCACCAAAUUAUUUUUGUGCACUGGCUUAAAUAUGAACACUCUCCCAGUGGAAGUCCUGUAUAAGUACAGCUGCAGUUCUGGAAACAGCUUUUUGGGCUCUGAUAGUUUCUCCUCUUGUCUUUAAAAUGACUAUUUGGUGACUGGUGGAUUCACACUCCAAAUUGGCAGUAAGAUGUAUUUUGUGUUGAUGCAUCUUAAUUGGGAUAUACAUGAAUUUCCUAAAUAGGUUUCAUUUGCUUGUUUGCUUUUCCGCAUCUUCUUAGUCACUUGCAUAAUUUAUGAUUCUGACAAGGUAGAUUAUAGGUCAAAGAUAUAAUAAAGGAAACUGUCCAGUAUACUAAAAUAGUUUUGAGAAAAUUGUCCUGGUGGUAAAACUGAGAGUUUUUAUGGUUUGUACCCU